AGGGGGUUCUUUUAACUUCUCCUUCUCAUUUGCGAAUGGAAGGAUAAACUGCCUAGUUAAGGUAGACUUGAAAUCCUUCUAUUUUUUGGCGGCAGACGAUAGCACCAUCUUCUUGCCCCCUUCCCUAACAACAUAAGCUAUUUGAACAGCUUCCCAAAUCUGCUCCUUUAGGUCCUGGGCAAUUGAGUCCAUUUCUUGUCCACAAGAGGGACUUUGGUGCGUGCCAGAACACCAAUGUAACUCUGCUUCUCUAAAGCAGCCUUGCCAUGUGGUCUGCAGCUUUUAUUGUACUCAACCACAGGCUUAAUCUUCU
This 313-nucleotide long non-coding RNA is filed under the name Prunus persica (peach). RNAcentral's name for it is "long non-coding RNA (PPER_LNC002054)". Lineage: Eukaryota; Viridiplantae; Streptophyta; Magnoliopsida; Rosales; Rosaceae. The record is from RNAcentral.